GGGCGGGCGCUCAGACCACCCUCUCAGACCACCCCGGCCCUUCCUUCCAAUCACAGCAGAGCCCAGACCUCCGCCCCGCCCCCUUCAGUCCCUGCUCUGCCUGGGACAAAAGUAACCGCCCUCUUUUCACCUGGGCGCCUCCAUCUCUGAGCAGAAAGGUGGGCCUGAGAACACUUGGCCUAUGGGCUGACCCUAAGCUGUGGCUGGGUUGGCGCGGGCCCAUUGUGUCCACAGCUGCAGCCAUUAUUGGCUCCUGCCUUUCCUGGCCGGCAGUGGGCUUGUGACCCAGGGCUCCAGCCGCCCAGGCUCACCCAUGCCUGAGGGCAAUCAGCCCACGUUUUCUGUCUCCCCAGGAGAGUUGGGUUCUGGACUGCUGGUCCCUAGGCAGCGGAGGGGCCCCACCAGACCUGAGUUCCAACGGGACCCCAGACACUGCACAAGGAAUAAUGAUUGCCAAAGAUGGAAGCUGAACCUUGACUCCCACAUCUUGAGUAGAGAUGCAGAAUGAAACCUAUACCUUCAGACAAGCCCAAUGUUGCUGAACUGUUUAGCUCAACUAUAUAUAGAUGUUAAAAGACAAGGCUUUUGGAGGAAAAGGGGAAGAAAAGCCCAAGGAUGAGAGCAGAGGAAGGUUAGAGUGAGGCUGAAGAAAGAAAAGGUCACUGACAAAAUAUGUUUCAAAACAGAUCAAAGGGAGCUGAAAAAUUGGUAAGCACAACAUCUGUGUCUUCACAGAAGUCACUGAUAAAAAUAUUCAAGCAGUCUAAGAACUUGGAGCACUCCCUUGAAGAUCUUUCUCACUGAAAUUAAAUCACUAAUAAUGA
Long non-coding RNA from Monodelphis domestica (gray short-tailed opossum), 824 nucleotides. RefSeq lists it as uncharacterized. Lineage: Eukaryota; Metazoa; Chordata; Mammalia; Didelphimorphia; Didelphidae. The record is from RefSeq and is a predicted model, not a curated record.